This 758-nucleotide ribosomal RNA is filed under the name Eumenes quadratus quadratus. RNAcentral's name for it is "partial large subunit ribosomal RNA". Lineage: Eukaryota; Metazoa; Arthropoda; Insecta; Hymenoptera; Vespidae. The record is from RNAcentral.
UAAUUUAUUAAUUUAGUUAAUGUAGAAAAAUUAUUAAAAAUAAUAAAUUUGAAGUGAAAUGUUAAACAAUUAGAAUGAUAUCUAGUUUUUUUAGAAAUGAAUUAAAUUCAGUUAUUUAAUAUAAUUUUGAUAAUUGUGUAUUUAAAUUAAGUUAAAUAAUAAAUAUUAUUGGGAUAAACUAGUGAUAAUUUAAUAAUAAAAUAAAGAAGAUAAUUAUUUAAAAAUAUUUAUAGAAUUAGAAAUUUUUAUUAAUAGUGUUAUAAUUUAUAUUAAAUUAAUAAAUAAUUUAAGAAUUUUAUUUUAGAAUUUAUAAAAAUAAUUAUUUUAAUUAAAUAAAUAAAGUAAUACUGAUUAAAUUAGUAAAUAAAUUUAUGUAAUAAUAUAAUUAAUAAUUAAUUUAAAUUAAUUUUAAAGAAUUCGACAAAUAGUUUAUUCACCUGUUUAUCAAAAACAUGUCUUAUAGAUUAUAAUUAUAAGUCAGUUCUGCCCAUUGAAAAAUUUAAAAUGGCUGCAGUAAUUUGACUGUACAAAGGUAGCAUAAUCAAUUGUUUUUUAAUUAGAAACUAGAAUGAAAGAAUUAAUGAAAUAAAAAUUGUUUCAAAUUUAAAAAUUGAAUUUAGAGUUUUAGUAAAAAUACUUAAAUUUUUUUAUUAGACAAGAAGACCCUAUAGAAUUUAAUAAAAUUUAUAUAAAAUAAUUAAAUUAUAAAAUUAAAAAUUUAAUAUAAUUAUAUUUUAUUGGGAGGAUAUUUAAAUUUA